CCAGCCAGCCCGGCGGUAAUAGGUUAGGUGGGCAAGGUUGGUUCGGGAAUUAUUUGGGGGUAAAAGCGGGGGCAGCGGGUUUUUUAAGUUUUGUUGGAAAAGCCCCCGGCUCCACCCUUGGAGGGUCCAUUGGAAACGGGGAGACUUGAGGCCAGAGGAGGAUAGUGGAAUUCCAAGUGUAGCGUUGAAAUGCGUAGAGAUUUGGAGGACCACCAGUGCCGAAGGGGAUUUUUUGUUCUGUAACUGACAUUGAGGCGGGAAAGCGUGGGGAGCAACCAGGAUUAGAUACCUUGUUAUUCCACCCGUUAAACGAGGAGUGUUAAGUGUUAGGGGGUUUCCGCCCUUUAGUGUUGCAGUUAACCCAUUAACCAUUCCCCUUGGGGGGUACGGUGGCAGGAUUGAAAUUCAAAGAAAUUGACGGGGGCCCCCCCAACCGGUGGACCAUGUGGUUUAUUUGGAAGCACCGGGAGGACCUUUCCCAGUUCUUGCCAUCCCGUUGACCACGGUAGAGAUAUGGUUUUCCUUUCGGGGCCAACGGUGCCAGGUGGUGCAUGGUGUUGUUCAGCUGGUGUCGUGAGAUGUUGGGUUAAUUCCCCCACCGAGCCCAACCCUUGUUUUUAGUUCCCUUCAUUUAGUUGGCCAUUUUAAGGUGACUCCCGGUGCCAACCCGGAGGAAGGUGGGGAGGACGUCAAUUCUUCAUCCCCCUUAUGCCUUGGGUUCCCCACGUGUUCCAAUGGACGAUCCAACCGGUUGCCACCUCGCGGGAGGGAGUUAUUCCGAUAAAGUCGUUUUCAGUUCGGAUGUUAGGUUGCAAUUCCCUUCCAUGAACCCGGAAUCGUUGGUAAUCGCGGAUCACCAUGCGGGGGUGAAUACGUUCCCGGCCUUUGUCCCCCCCCCCCUUAACGCCACGAGAGUUUGUACCACCCGAAGUCGUGUGGGGUACCCUUUGGAGCCAGCCGCUUAA
Molecule: ribosomal RNA, 965 nt
Filed under: Bacillus sp. L22
Lineage: Bacteria; Bacillati; Bacillota; Bacilli; Caryophanales; Bacillaceae
Description: partial 16S ribosomal RNA
Rfam family: Bacterial small subunit ribosomal RNA
Source: RNAcentral